RNAcentral lists this small RNA (388 nucleotides) under Drosophila yakuba. RNAcentral's name for it is "GE28255". Lineage: Eukaryota; Metazoa; Arthropoda; Insecta; Diptera; Drosophilidae. The record is from RNAcentral.
UGGAUUUAGGGGGUGGGCCAAAUGUCACUGUGAAAAUGUCUCAACGAGCAAAUUUUAGGAACGUCAAGAAAAACAUUCAACGAUCACAAAACCGGCGAAUGCUGCAAAAUGCGAAUCAAGAACAUUUAACCAUCUAAAUAAAUGAAUUCAAUUUAAUUGAAACAAAUUUCGCGGAAAUGCAACAAAUCAACUUAAAAAUGAACUGAACAACAUAAACAUUUCGAAAAACAACGCAAAAUUCUAAAAUUGGCAACAUAAGUUUUGGUCUUGAAUUAAACGCAACAAAAAUAUAAAUCAACAAAAAACGAUUUUUGGCAACAAAACAGCAUAAUAACAUACACAAAUUGUAAUUAUCUCAAAACGUCCACACGUGAAAAUGUUUUGCAAC